RNAcentral lists this ribosomal RNA (1106 nucleotides) under uncultured Termite group 1 bacterium. Its description in RNAcentral is "bacterial SSU rRNA". It matches the Rfam family "Bacterial small subunit ribosomal RNA", at positions 212 to 1333 of the family's 1533-position model. Lineage: Bacteria; Pseudomonadati; Elusimicrobiota. The record is from RNAcentral.
AAUGCGUUUUGAGAUGGUCCUGCGUCCUAUCAGCUAGUUGGCAGGGUAACGGCCUACCAAGGCUAUGACGGGUAUCCGGCCUUAAAGGGUGAACGGACACACUGGAACUGAGACACGGUCCAGACUCCUAUGGGAGGCAGCAGUGGGGAAUUUUGGACAAUGGGGGAAACCCUGAUCCAGCGACGCCGCGUGGAGGAUGAAGGCCUUCGGGUUGUAAACUCCUUUUAGAGGGGAAGAAAUAAAUGACGUUACCCUCAGAAAAAGCCACGGCUAACUACGUGCCAGCAGCCGCGGUAAUACGUAGGUGGCGAGCGUUACUCGGAAUUACUAGGCGUAAAGCGUAUGUAGGCUGUCGUAUAAGUCUUAGUAAAAUUUUCCGGCUCAACCGGGAAAAGCCUAAAGAUACUGUUCGACUUGAGUGUGGGAGAGGGAGACGGAAUUCCUGGUGUAGCGGUGAAAUGCGUAGAUAUCAGGAGGAACACCGAUGGCGAAAGCAGUCUUCUGGACCAAUACUGACGCUGAUGUACGAAAGCUAGGGUAGCAAACAGGAUUAGAUACCCUGGUAGUCCUAGCUGUAAACUAUGUUCACUAGAUGUGGGAGGUAUCGACCCCUUCCGCGUCGACGUUAACGCAUUAAGUGAACCGCCUGGGGAGUACGGCCGCAAGGUUGAAACUCAAAGGAAUUGACGGGGGCCCGCACAAGCGGUGGAGUAUGUGGUUUAAUUCGACGCAACGCGAAAAACCUUACCUGGGCUUGAACUGCUGAUGGUAAAAACCGGAAACGGCGAUGACCCGCAAGGGAGUCAGCAGAGGUGUUGCAUGGCUGUCGUCAGCUCGUGUCGUGGGAUGUUGGGUUAAGUCCCGCAACGAGCGCAACCCUUAUCCUAUGUUACCUGUAGCGAUACAGGGUCUCUGAGGAAACUGCCAUUGAUAAAAUGGAGGAAGGUGGGGACGACGUCAAGUCAUCAUGUCCUUUAUGUCCAGGGCUACACACGUACUACAAUGGCCGGUACAGAGGGCAGCAAUAUCGUAAGGUGGAGCAAAUCCCUGAAAGCCGGCCCCAGUUCAGAUUGUGGGCUGCAAUUCGCCCACAUGAAGUAGGAAUC